CGACGGAUGCCUUGGCAGUAGAAGGCGAUGAAGGACGUGAUAAUCUGCGAUAAGCUUCGGUUAGCUGAUAAUAAGCUCUAACCCGGAGAUCUCCGAAUGGGAAAACCCAGUGAUCAUAAGAUCAUUAUCCUUAACUGAAUACAUAGGUUAAGGAGGCAAACCUAGGGAACUGAAACAUCUAAGUACCUCGAGGAAAAGAAAUCAAAAGAGAUUCUGCUAGUAGCGGCGAGCGAACGCAGAUUAGGCCAAACCAUCAUGCGUGCAUGGUGGGGUUGUAGGACCUGCAUCAAGGGGAAGUUGCUAGAAGAAGUGUCUGGGAAGUCACACCAUAGAGAGUGAAAGUCUCGUAUUCGAAAGCGAUGGAACUGGGCGGGUAUCCUGAGUAGGACGGGGCACGUGGAACCCUGUCUGAAUCUGGGAAGACCACUUUCCAAGCCUAAAUACUACCUACUGACCGAUAGCGUACAAGUACCGUGAGGGAAAGAUGCAAAGAAG
Molecule: ribosomal RNA, 495 nt
Filed under: Alexandrium tamarense
Lineage: Eukaryota; Dinophyceae; Gonyaulacales; Pyrocystaceae
Description: partial Bacterial large subunit ribosomal RNA
Rfam family: Bacterial large subunit ribosomal RNA
Source: RNAcentral